RNAcentral lists this ribosomal RNA (253 nucleotides) under uncultured bacterium. RNAcentral's name for it is "partial 16S ribosomal RNA". It matches the Rfam family "Bacterial small subunit ribosomal RNA", at positions 524 to 776 of the family's 1533-position model. The record is from RNAcentral.
UACGGAGGGUGCAAGCGUUGUUCGGAAUCACUGGGCGUAAAGCGCGUGUAGGCGGCCUCUUAAGUCUGGUGUGAAAGCCCGGGGCUCACCCCCGGAAGGGCACUGGAUACUGGGAGGCUAGAGUACCGGAGAGGAGGGUGGAAUUCCUGGUGUAGCGGUGAAAUGCGUAGAUAUCAGGAGGAACACCGGUGGCGAAGGCGGCCCUCUGGACGGCUACUGACGCUGAGACGCGAAAGCGUGGGGAGCAAACAGG